UGAACCAGCGGAGGGAUCAUUACCGAGUUUACAACUCCCAAACCCCUGUGAACAUACCUUAAUGUUGCCUCGGCGGAUCAGCCCGCGCCCCGUAAAACGGGACGGCCCGCCAGAGGACCCAAACUCUAAUGUUUCUUAUUGUAACUUCUGAGUAAAACAAACAAAUAAAUCAAAACUUUCAACAACGGAUCUCUUGGUUCUGGCAUCGAUGAAGAACGCAGCAAAAUGCGAUAAGUAAUGUGAAUUGCAGAAUUCAGUGAAUCAUCGAAUCUUUGAACGCACAUUGCGCCCGCUGGUAUUCCGGCGGGCAUGCCUGUUCGAGCGUCAUUUCAACCCUCAAGCCCUCGGGUUUGGUGUUGGGGAUCGGCUCUGCCUUCUGGCGGUGCCGCCCCCGAAAUACAUUGGCGGUCUCGCUGCAGCCUCCAUUGCGUAGUACCUAACACCUCGCAACUGGAACGCGGCGCGGCCAUGCCGUAAAACCCCAACUUCUGAAUGUUGACCUCGGAUCAGGUAGGAAUACCCGCUGAACUUAAGCAUAUCAAUAAGCGGAGGCAC
Molecule: small RNA, 555 nt
Filed under: uncultured fungus
Lineage: Eukaryota; Fungi
Description: eukaryotic LSU rRNA
Rfam family: 5.8S ribosomal RNA (bases 174-327)
Source: RNAcentral